UGGUUGUCGUCAGCUCGUGCCGUGAGGUGUUGGGUUAAGUCCCGCAACGAGCGCAACCCUCAUUGUUAGUUACUACCAUUCAGUUGAGGACUCUAAUGAGACUGCCAACGAUAAGUUGGAGGAAGGUGGGGAUGACGUCAAAUCAUCAUGCCCUUUAUGACCUGGGCUACAAACGUACUACAAUGGCCAAUACAAAGAGAUGCGAAGCGGUGACGUGGAGCGAACCUCAGAAAGUUGGUCUCAGUUCAGAUUGAAGUCUGCAACUCGACUUCAUGAAGGCGGAAUCGCUAGUAAUCGCGGGUCAGCAGACCGCGGUGAAUACGUUCCCGGGUUUU
Molecule: ribosomal RNA, 335 nt
Filed under: uncultured Mollicutes bacterium
Lineage: Bacteria; Bacillati; Mycoplasmatota; Mollicutes
Description: bacterial SSU rRNA
Rfam family: Bacterial small subunit ribosomal RNA
Source: RNAcentral